UGCAAGCCUGCUACGGGCAUUUGUAAUGAG
This 30-nucleotide non-coding RNA is filed under the name Mus musculus (house mouse). The record is from RNAcentral. Lineage: Eukaryota; Metazoa; Chordata; Mammalia; Rodentia; Muridae.